Molecule: ribosomal RNA, 254 nt
Filed under: uncultured bacterium
Lineage: Bacteria
Description: partial 16S ribosomal RNA
Rfam family: Bacterial small subunit ribosomal RNA
Source: RNAcentral
UACGGGGGGGGCAAGCGUUGUUCGGAUUUACUGGGCGUAAAGGGCGCGUAGGCGGUCGUGACAAGUCACUUGUGAAAUCUCCGGGCUUAACUCGGAACGGUCAAGUGAUACUGUCGGACUAGAGUACAGAAGGGGCAACUGGAAUUCUCGGUGUAGCGGUGAAAUGCGUAGAUAUCGAGAGGAACACCUGCGGCGAAGGCGGGUCUCUGGGCAGUAACUGACGCUGAGGAGCGAAAGCGUGGGGAGCGAACAGG